UAGGGAAUCUUCCACAAUGGACGCAAGUCUGAUGGAGCAACGCCGCGUGAGUGAAGAAGGCUUUCGGGUCGUAAAACUCUGUUGUUGGAGAAGAAUGGUCGGCAGAGUAACUGUUGUCGGCGUGACGGUAUCCAACCAGAAAGCCACGGCUAACUACGUGCCAGCAGCCGCGGUAAUACGUAGGUGGCAAGCGUUAUCCGGAUUUAUUGGGCGUAAAGCGAGCGCAGACGGUUUUUUAAGUCUGAUGUGAAAGCCCUCGGCUUAACCGAGGAAGUGCAUCGGAAACUGGGAAACUUGAGUGCAGAAGAGGACAGUGGAACUCCAUGUGUAGCGGUGAAAUGCGUAGAUAUAUGGAAGAACACCAGUGGCGAAGGCGGCUGUCUGGUCUGUAACUGACGCUGAGGCUCGAAAGCAUGGGUAGCGAACAGGAUUAGAUACCCUGGUAGUCCAUGCCGUAAACGAUGAAUGCUAGGUGUUGGAGGGUUUCCGCCCUUCAGUGCCGCAGCUAACGCAUUAAGCAUUCCGCCUGGGGAGUACGACCGCAAGGUUGAA
Molecule: ribosomal RNA, 552 nt
Filed under: uncultured bacterium
Lineage: Bacteria
Description: partial 16S ribosomal RNA
Rfam family: Bacterial small subunit ribosomal RNA
Source: RNAcentral